Molecule: ribosomal RNA, 607 nt
Filed under: bacterium amp-w-86
Lineage: Bacteria
Description: bacterial SSU rRNA
Rfam family: Bacterial small subunit ribosomal RNA
Source: RNAcentral
CACAUGCAGUCGAGCGGAUGAAGGGAGCUUGCUCCUUGAUUCAGCGGCGGACGGGUGAGUAAUGCCUAGGAAUCUGCCUGGUAGUGGGGGACAACGUCUCGAAAGGGACGCUAAUACCGCAUACGUCCUACGGGAGAAAGCAGGGGACCUUCGGGCCUUGCGCUAUCAGAUGAGCCUAGGUCGGAUUAGCUAGUUGGUGAGGUAAUGGCUCACCAAGGCGACGAUCCGUAACUGGUCUGAGAGGAUGAUCAGUCACACUGGAACUGAGACACGGUCCAGACUCCUACGGGAGGCAGCAGUGGGGAAUAUUGGACAAUGGGCGAAAGCCUGAUCCAGCCAUGCCGCGUGUGUGAAGAAGGUCUUCGGAUUGUAAAGCACUUUAAGUUGGGAGGAAGGGUUGUAGAUUAAUACUCUGCAAUUUUGACGUUACCGACAGAAUAAGCACCGGCUAACUCUGUGCCAGCAGCCGCGGUAAUACAGAGGGUGCAAGCGUUAAUCGGAAUUACUGGGCGUAAAGCGCGCGUAGGUGGUUUGUUAAGUUGGAUGUGAAAGCCCCGGGCUCAACCUGGGAACUGCAUUCAAAACUGACAAGCUAGAGUAUGGUAGA